ACCCAGCUGACGAGUCUCAAAUAGGACGAAACGCGAGUCAAACUAGAU
This is a non-coding RNA of Schistosoma rodhaini, 48 nucleotides long. Lineage: Eukaryota; Metazoa; Platyhelminthes; Trematoda; Strigeidida; Schistosomatidae. The record is from Rfam.